RNAcentral lists this ribosomal RNA (382 nucleotides) under uncultured bacterium. RNAcentral describes it as "bacterial SSU rRNA". It matches the Rfam family "Bacterial small subunit ribosomal RNA", at positions 30 to 414 of the family's 1533-position model. The record is from RNAcentral.
AUUGAACGCUGGCGGCAUGCCUUACACAUGCAAGUCGAACGGCAGCACGGGAGCAAUCCUGGUGGCGAGUGGCGAACGGGUGAGUAAUAUAUCGGAACGUGCCCAGUCGUGGGGAUAACGUAGCGAAAGCUACGCUAAUACCGCAUACUAUCUAUGGAUGAAAGCGGGGGAUCGCAAGACCUCGCGCGAUUGGAGCGGCCGAUAUCAGAUUAGGUAGUUGGUGAGGUAAAGGCUCACCAAGCCGACGAUCUGUAGCUGGUCUGAGAGGACGACCAGCCACACUGGGACUGAGACACGGCCCAGACUCCUACGGAGGCAGCAGUGGGGAAUUUUGGACAAUGGGCGCAAGCCUGAUCCAGCAAUGCCGCGUGCAGGAUGAAGG